CAGUCGCCGCGGGAAUACGUAGGGUGCAAGCGUUAAUCGGAAUUACUGGGCGUAAAGCGUGCGCAGGCGGUUAUGUAAGACAGAUGUGAAAUGCCCGGGCUCAACCUGGGAACUGCAUUUGUGACUGUAUGGCUAGAGUAUGUCAGAGGGGGGUAGAAUUCCACGUGUAGCAGUGAAAUGCGUAGAUAUGUGGGGGAAUACCGAUGGCGAAGGCAGCCCCCUGGGCCAAUACUGACGCUCAUGCACGAAAGCGUGGGGAGCAAACAGGAUUAGAUACCCGGGUAGUCCCUGUCUCUUAUAC
This 301-nucleotide ribosomal RNA is filed under the name uncultured bacterium. Its description in RNAcentral is "partial 16S ribosomal RNA". It matches the Rfam family "Bacterial small subunit ribosomal RNA", at positions 509 to 807 of the family's 1533-position model. The record is from RNAcentral.